GACGAACGCUGGCGGUGUGCUUAACACAUGCAAGUCGAACGGUAAGGCCCUUUCGGGGGUACACGAGUGGCGAACGGGUGAGUAACACGUAAGUAACCUGCCCUCAUCUCUGGGAUAACAGUCGGAAACGGUUGCUAAUACUGGAUAUGAGCCUGCAAGGCAUCUUGUGGGUUGGAAAGAUUUUUUGGUUGGGGAUGGACUCGCGGCCUAUCAGCUUGUUGGUGAGGUAGUGGCUCACCAAGGCUUCGACGGGUAGCCGGCCUGAGAGGGCGACCGGCCACAUUGGGACUGAGAUACGGCCCAAACUCCUACGGGAGGCAGCAGUGGGGAAUAUUGCACAAUGGACGGAAGUCUGAUGCAGUAACGCCGCGUGCGGGAUGACGGCCUUCGGGUUGUAAACCGCUUUCAAUUGUGACGAAGCUUUUUGUGACGGUAGCAGUAGAAGAAGCACCGGCUAACUACGUG
This 465-nucleotide ribosomal RNA is filed under the name uncultured bacterium. RNAcentral's name for it is "partial 16S ribosomal RNA". It matches the Rfam family "Bacterial small subunit ribosomal RNA", at positions 28 to 507 of the family's 1533-position model. The record is from RNAcentral.